UACGUAGGGGGCGAGCGUUGUCCGGAAUCAUUGGGCGUAAAGAGCGUGUAGGCGGCUUGGCAAGUCUGACGUGAAAGCCCGCGGCUCAACCGCGGAUUGUCGUUGGAAACUGCCUCGCUAGAGUCCGGAAGAGGAGAGCGGAAUUCCUGGUGUAGCGGUGGAAUGCGCAGAUAUCAGGAAGAACACCCGUGGCGAAGGCGGCUCUCUGGGACGGUACUGACGCUGAGACGCGAAAGCGUGGGGAGCGAACAGGAUUAGAUACCCUGGUAGUCCACGCCGUAAACGAUGGGCGCUAGGUGUGGGAGGUGUCGAUUCCUCCCGUGCCGAAGCUAACGCAUUAAGCGCCCCGCCUGGGGAGUACGGCCGCAAGGCUAAA
Molecule: ribosomal RNA, 376 nt
Filed under: uncultured bacterium
Lineage: Bacteria
Description: bacterial SSU rRNA
Rfam family: Bacterial small subunit ribosomal RNA
Source: RNAcentral